UGAACGCUGGCGGCGUGCUUAACACAUGCAAGUCGCACGAGAACGCUUCAGCUUGCUGAAGUUAGUAAAGUGGCGCACGGGUGAGUAACGCGUGGGUAAUCUACCCCCGAAUUGGGGAUAACCCGCCGAAAGGCGGGCUAAUACCGGAUAAUAUCUUAAAAACCUCGGUUUUAAAGAUCAAAGGUGGCCUCUACAUGUAAGCUUCUGUUUGGGGAUGAGCCCGCGUACCAUUAGCUUGUUGGUAGGGUAAUGGCCUACCAAGGCUGCGAUGGUUAGCUGGUCUGAGAGGAUGAUCAGCCACACUGGAACUGACACACGGUCCAGACUCCUACGGGAGGCAGCAGUGAGGAAUUUUGCGCAAUGGGGGAAACCCUGACGCAGCAACGCCGCGUGAGUGAUGAAGGCUUUCGGGUCGUAAAGCUCUGUCAAGUGGGAAGAACCCACAUGGUGAUAAUACCGCCAUGUGUUGACGGUACCACUGAAGGAAGCACCGGCUAACUCC
This 502-nucleotide ribosomal RNA is filed under the name uncultured bacterium. RNAcentral's name for it is "bacterial SSU rRNA". It matches the Rfam family "Bacterial small subunit ribosomal RNA", at positions 30 to 504 of the family's 1533-position model. The record is from RNAcentral.